UUAAAGUUUGUUGGCUGGCUUCGGAUGCGGCCAACCCAUCCCUUGUGGCCCUUAGUUCAUCAUCAGACGUCUUCAAGUCCAUCUUAGCUCGAUCCAAGUCUCGUUGGAGGCCAUCGAUGACAUGAAGAGCGUCUUCUCGAUCGGCCCUUUCUCGAGCCAAGGUCGAUCUCAGCAUGUUGAUCUCCUGUCUCAUGAAAUCUUCCC
RNAcentral lists this long non-coding RNA (204 nucleotides) under Panax ginseng (ginseng). Its description in RNAcentral is "long non-coding RNA (PGIN_LNC006790)". Lineage: Eukaryota; Viridiplantae; Streptophyta; Magnoliopsida; Apiales; Araliaceae. The record is from RNAcentral.